CCCCCCAUCCUCAUCCUUCUUCAGGGACCCCUCUCAAAAGCAACUCCUCUUACAAGAGGUGCGGAAGCUCCUUGCCAUGGGAGCCAUAGAGGAGGUACCAAAGAACGAAAGGGGCAAGGGGUUCUACUCCCACUAUUUCCUAAUCCCCAAGGUGAAGGGAGGUCUCAGACCUAUCCUAGACCUGCGAGAACUCAAACAAGUUCAUGAUAAAGUUGAAGUUCCGCAUGGUAUCCCUGGGGCCAUCAUCCCAUCCUUGGAUCCCGGAGACUGGUAUGCCGCCCUCGAUAUGAAGGACGUGUGUUUUCACAUCGCCAUCUAUCCUCCACACAGACAAUACCUCCGGUUUGUAGCCAACCAUCAACAUUUCCAGUUUACGGUCCUUCCGUUCGGCCUCUCUACGGCUCCAAGAGUAUUCACAAAGUGCAUGGCUGUAGUUGCCACCUUCCUCCGCUGCCGGAUACACAUUUUUCCGUAUCUCGACGAAUGGCUCAUUCAAGGGACCUCCGAGGCACAAGUCACCCAUUAUGUGGACAUCGUCAAGGACCUAUUCAUGAGUCUAGGCCAGAUGAUCAAUACAGAGAAAUCCACUCUGGUUCCCACACAGAGGAUAGACUUCAUUGGGGCCAGCCUGGACUCCAAUCUCACCACAGCCUGUUUACCACAGCCUCAGUUUCAGGUGAUGGUAACAAAUUAUCCGAGGCCUACAGAACUUCCCGACAACUUCGGCUCGCACUUGUCUCGGUCUCCUGGGUCACAUGACUGCCUGCAUGUUCGUGACCAAACACGCCAGGCUACGCCUCCGUCCCCUCCAAUCUUGGCUCACCUUGGUAUACCACCCGGGCAGAGACACCAUAGACAUGAGAGUCACGAUUCCCCUGAGCAUAAUAGGCUCCCUCAACUGGUGGUUGACACUCUCCCUGGUGUGUGCAGGGAUGCCGUUCCAUCCACCUCAGCCUUCUAUGUCCUUGACGACGGAUGUGUCAUCUCUCGGCUGGGGUGCUCACCUCGGCCAUCUUCGCACUCAAGGCCUUUAGUCAUCUCAGGAGCUGGCCUUGCACAUCAAUGUCCGAGAGCUGAGAGCAGUCCGCCUGGCAUGCCAGGCAUUUCAACAGCAUUUGCAAGGCCGUUGUGUCUCAGUGUUCACAGACGACACAAUGGCCAUGUAUUACAUAAACAAGCAGAGAGGGACACGGUCCUCCCCUCUUUGUCAGGAAGCCAUCCAGCUUUGGGACUUCUGUAUAGCCCACUCGAUAGACUUGGUAGCGUCUUUUCUCCCAGGAGUUUGGAACGCUCUGGCGGAUCGACUCAGCAGAUCCUUCCUGUCUCACGAGUGGUCGAUUUGUCCGGACAUUAUUCAUUCUGUUUUCCGGAAGUGGGGCUUUCCCUAUAUAGACCUCUUUGCUUCCCACGAGAACAGGAAAGGCCAGAUGUUCUGCUCCUUCCAAGGCCUCUCCCUGGGCUCAAUCUUGGACGCUUUCCUGAUGUCGUGGACCAGCCAACUGCUUUACGCCUUUCCACCAUUCCCGCUGGUUCACAGGGUCCUGAUAAAGCUCCACAGGGACAGAGCUCACUUGAUCAUGAUCGCUCCAGCGUGGCUCAGGCAGCACUGGUACACCAUGCUGCUCGACUUGUCGAUAGCCAACCCAGUCACCCUGCCUCUUCGCCCAGACCUCAUAACUCAGGACCACGGCAGACUUCACCACCCAGACCUGCAGUCCCUUCACCUCACAGCAUGGCUGCUGCGUGGUUAAGCCAGUCCGAGUUACGUUGCUCUGCCUCAGUACAACAAGUACUCCUGGGUAGCAGGAAACCUUCCACUCGGUCAACACAUCUGGCCAAGUGGAAGUAUUUCUCCUGCUGGUGCGAAACGCAUAAUGUUACUCCCACCAAGGUCUCGAUCCCCGCUGUCUUGGACUACCUCUGGUCUCCCAAACAACAGGGCCUAGCAGUAACAUCAUUGAGGGUGCACUUGGCAGCCAUCUCUACCUUCCACGCAGGGGAAAGUGGCCGCUCCGUGUUCUCACACCCUAUGGUUUCUAGGUUACUCAAGGGCUUGGACCACCUAUACCCCCAAGUAUGCCAUCCCGCCCCAACCUGGGACCUCAACCUGGUUCUAACCAGACUUAGGUCUGCUCCUUUUGAGCUGUUAGCAACCUGCUCACUACUAUACCUGUCCUCGAAGACUGCUUUCCUCAUAGCCAUUACAUUGGCCAGACGAGUUUCCGAGCUUAGGGCUCUCACAGUGGACCCACUGUAUACUGUGUUUCACAAGGACAAGGUCCAGUUGCGACCACACCCGGCUUUCCUCCUUAAAGUGGUAUCGGCCUUUCAUAUCAACCAGGAUAUCUUCCUUCCCGUCUUCUUCCUGAAGCCACACUCGUCAAGACGGGAACAACAGUUGCACUCCCUAGACGUUCGUAGAAUGGUCGCGUUUUAUAUCUAGCGGAUGAAACCCUUUCGUAAAACACCCCAACUCUUCAUAGCGGUGGCAGACCGAAUGAAGAGCCUACCUGUCUCCUCCCAGAGGAUCUCAUCUUGGGUGACGGUGUGCAUCCGUACUUGUUAUGACUUGGCUUAUGUCCCCUUGAGCCACCUCACCGCACAUUCUACCAGGGCUCAGGCUUCAUCUGCCACCUUCCUGGCUCAUGUACCCAUCCAGGAGAUAUGUCGUGCAGCUACCUGGUCCUCCGUCCACACCUUUGCCUCACAUUACGCUCUGGUUCAACAGUCCAGAGAUGAUGCAGCCUUUGGCUCAGCAGUUCUGCAUUCUGCAACAUCUGACUCCGACCUCACCGUCUAGGUAAGGGCUUGGGAAUCAGCUAAUUGGAAUCGAUAUGAGCAAGCACUUGAAGAAGAAAAGACGGUUACUCACCUUUUAACUGUU
This is a long non-coding RNA of Chelonoidis abingdonii (Abingdon island giant tortoise), 2884 nucleotides long. NCBI's taxonomy places the organism in Eukaryota, Metazoa, Chordata, Testudines, Testudinidae. The record is from Ensembl.